CUACGGGAGGCAGCAGUGAGGAAUGUUGGUCAAUGGUCGGGAGACUGAACCAGCCAAGCCGCGUGAGGGAUGAAGGUACAGAGUAUCGUAAACCUCUUUUGUCAGGGAACAAAGGCGGGGACGUGUCCCCGGAUGAGUGUACCUGAAGAAAAAGCAUCGGCUAACUCCGUGCCAGCAGCCGCGGUAAUACGGAGGAUGCGAGCGUUAUCCGGAUUUAUUGGGUUUAAAGGGUGCGCAGGCAGUCUGUUAAGUCAGCGGUCAAAGCCCGGGGCUCAACCCCGGCCCGCCGUUGAAACUGGCAGUCU
This 305-nucleotide ribosomal RNA is filed under the name uncultured bacterium. Its description in RNAcentral is "bacterial SSU rRNA". It matches the Rfam family "Bacterial small subunit ribosomal RNA", at positions 339 to 642 of the family's 1533-position model. The record is from RNAcentral.